AUGUCUUGUUUUGUAAAUUGAAAAUAUAUUGUAUUUAGUUUUAUGACCAAUUUUUGUAUUUUUAUAUGUUAUGAUGGAGUUAGAUUGCCAUGUGUAAUAUGUAAUAACAAUUAACAGCCAUGGAGUAAAACAGCCCAGAAAUCCAUGGUCAGAUGGACCAGAAUACGUCACACAGUGCGCUAUUCAACCAGGAACAAACUUCACAUACAAAGUCAUAUUCUCUGACGAGGAAGGAACCCUUUGGUGGCAUGCCCACAGCGACUGGACUCAGAGCAGUGUCCAUGGUGCCAUUAUCAUCAUGCCUGCACAAGGCACCACUUACCCAUUUCCCCAACCAGACGCAGAAAAAGUUAUAGUACUCGGAACUUGGUAUACUUUUGAUGUGAACAAACAGCUCCAUUAUGAUCUCUUUGUGGGUGCAGACUUACCGCGGCCAAGUUCUUUUGUUAUCAAUGGCCAACCAGAAGGAAUCUUUAGUUGUUCUAGCGGUAUUUUCUUUAGUGUUUCUGUGGGAGUUUCACUAGAAUAAAUACUGCAUUGACAAAACUAGAAGAGUCUAAUCACGAUUAACCAUUGAUUCCGUUACAAAAUAAUGGUCUGUGCUGUGGAGUCUGAUCUGAAAGAUUGACCUAUUGAUAGUAAGCAAUAGUAGUCUUGAAAGCAAGGUUUUAAAAAGCAGCUGCAACCAUUACGUAACGUGGUUACUGCCACCUAUUACGGCCGCUAUAGCAGUGUGACGAAAAUUCACAUGCGUAACAGUCAUUUCAGUGUUACGUAACGGCUGUAGCGGUACCGUAAUGGCCCAUUAGACACCGUUUCAAAAUGUGGCAUUACGUAACGGUUGAGGCGGUAUGCACCAUGCGUUACCUCCGUUUUUGCAUUGUGAUUGAGAUUCACAUGUGUGUCGGCCAUAGCGGCUGCCGUAGCGGUCAUAACGGUGCUAUAACGGCCUGUUACACACCAUUACGUAAUGGUUCCGAACUGUUUCUUUCGAAGAAAAAAAAAA
Camellia sinensis is the source of this 1006-nucleotide non-coding RNA. The record is from RefSeq and is a predicted model, not a curated record. NCBI's taxonomy places the organism in Eukaryota, Viridiplantae, Streptophyta, Magnoliopsida, Ericales, Theaceae.